UAUUAAUGAAUUAUAGUGUGGUGUUUAUACUUUGGAGAUUGCUCUAUUAGCGGUGACUCACGCGUUAUAACUUUAUUAAUUGAUUUAUGCACUCUUUAACAGCCGGGUCAACAUCAGUUAUUACCACGUCCGAAAAGUCUUGGGGCGGGAAAUGUAGCAUUGGUAAUGGCUUGUCUGUUACUUUUGAACUUAUAGACCCCUUGUACGAGGAUGUUAAUGACUGAGGAUAAUCGACUCGUGCGUUUCGGCGCAGGGCGUAUUAGGCUAGUCAAGGUCGCACGUAACGCUAGACAGCUUGCUGAUUAGUGUUAUCUGUACCACAUGGUCGAUGCGAUCGCUAGUUUAAUACAAGCCACUAGCGAGUCUAUGAAUGUUGACGAAAUGGUAUUCAACGACCCGUCUUGAAACACGGACCAAGGAGUCUAACAUGUCUGCGAGUGUUUGGGUGGAAAACCCUUACGCGGAAUGAAAGUAACGAGGCAAGUUUCGCGCUUGUCCACUGGUAGGAAUCGAAGCGUUUCGGCGCGACGAGGCACUACCGACCGACCUGUUACCCUCUGUGGUGGUAGGUUUGAGUUGGAGCAGUCCUGUUAGGACCCGAAAGAUGGUGAACUAUGCCUGAGCAGGAUGAAGUCAGAGGAAACUCUGAUGGAGGUCCGUAGCGGUUCUGACGUGCAAAUCGAUCGUCGGACUUGGGUAUAG
Molecule: ribosomal RNA, 702 nt
Filed under: Syncephalis sp. KL-2016a
Lineage: Eukaryota; Fungi; Zoopagomycota; Zoopagomycetes; Zoopagales; Piptocephalidaceae
Description: eukaryotic LSU rRNA
Rfam family: Eukaryotic large subunit ribosomal RNA
Source: RNAcentral